This 77-nucleotide transfer RNA is filed under the name Photobacterium damselae subsp. piscicida. RNAcentral describes it as "tRNA-Lys". It matches the Rfam family "tRNA". Rfam says of the family: Transfer RNA (tRNA) molecules are approximately 80 nucleotides in length. Their secondary structure includes four short double-helical elements and three loops (D, anti-codon, and T loops). Further hydrogen bonds mediate the characteristic L-shaped molecular structure. tRNAs have two regions of fundamental functional importance: the anti-codon, which is responsible for specific mRNA codon recognition, and the 3' end, to which the tRNAs corresponding amino acid is attached (by aminoacyl-tRNA synthetases). tRNAs cope with the degeneracy of the genetic code in two manners: having more than one tRNA (with a specific anti-codon) for a particular amino acid; and 'wobble' base-pairing, i.e. permitting non-standard base-pairing at the 3rd anti-codon position. The record is from RNAcentral. Lineage: Bacteria; Pseudomonadati; Pseudomonadota; Gammaproteobacteria; Vibrionales; Vibrionaceae.
GGGUCGUUAGCUCAGUUGGUAGAGCAGUUGACUUUUAAUCAAUUGGUCAGCAGGUUCGAAUCCUGCACGACCCACCA